This 253-nucleotide ribosomal RNA is filed under the name uncultured bacterium. Its description in RNAcentral is "partial 16S ribosomal RNA". It matches the Rfam family "Bacterial small subunit ribosomal RNA", at positions 524 to 776 of the family's 1533-position model. The record is from RNAcentral.
UACGUAGGGCGCAAGCGUUGUCCGGAAUUAUUGGGCGUAAAGAGCUCGUAGGUGGCUUGUCGCGUCUGCCGUGAAAGCCCAUGGCUUAACUGUGGGUCUGCGGUGGAUACGGGCUGGCUAGAGGUAGGUAGGGGCAAGCGUAAUUCCUGGUGUAGCGGUGAAAUGCGCAGAUAUCAGGAGGAACACCGGUGGCGAAGGCGGCUUGCUGGCCCGGUACUGACGCUGAGGUGCGAAAGCGUGGGGAGCAAACAGG